UUUAAAGCGAAUAAGGGCGCAUGGUGGAUGCCUAGGCUCUAGGAGGCGAUGAAGGACGUGGUAAGCUGCGAUAAGCUACGGGGAGAUGCAAACGAUCGUUACAUCCGUAGAUUUCCGAAUGAGACAACUCAAUACAUUGAAGAUGUAUUAUCCGCAAGGAGGCCAACGCAGGGAACUGAAACAUCUAAGUACCUGCAGGAAAAGAAAAUAAAUUAAUGAUUCCCUAAGUAGUGGCGAGCGAACGGGGACCAGCCCAAACCGCGGUGGCGUGCUGCCGCGGGGUUAUAGGACUACUUUUAGAAAGUCAGAUCAAAUUGAAUCAUCUGGAAAGAUGAGCCAUAGCAGGUGAUAGCCCUGUAGAUAGAAAUUCUGAUAGACGUGUAGUAUCCUGAGUAGCGCGGGACCGGAGGAAUCCUGUGUGAAGUUGCCAGCACCAUCUGGUAAGGCUAAAUACUCCCUAGAGACCGAUAGUGAACCAGUACCGUAAGGGAAAGGUGAAAAGCACUUCGAAUAGAAGAGUGAAAUAGUACCUGAAACCGUGCGCCUACAAGCGGUCGGAGCAUAG
RNAcentral lists this ribosomal RNA (565 nucleotides) under Chitinophaga rhizophila. RNAcentral's name for it is "Chitinophaga sp. B61 partial 23S ribosomal RNA". It matches the Rfam family "Bacterial large subunit ribosomal RNA", at positions 1 to 584 of the family's 2925-position model. Lineage: Bacteria; Pseudomonadati; Bacteroidota; Chitinophagia; Chitinophagales; Chitinophagaceae. The record is from RNAcentral.